RNAcentral lists this ribosomal RNA (119 nucleotides) under Pteropus alecto (black flying fox). The record is from RNAcentral. Lineage: Eukaryota; Metazoa; Chordata; Mammalia; Chiroptera; Pteropodidae.
GUCUAUGGCCAUGACACCCUGAACACAUCUGAUCUUGUCUGAUCUUGGAAGCUAAGUAGGGUCGGGCUUGGUUACUACUUGGAUGGGAGACCACUUAGGAAGACCAGGUGCUGAAGGUG